AUGAGCGCUGCGGGCGGAUCGCGGCUCAAGAGGCUGGGCCCGGCCGUGGCGCCCCUCGCCCGUUUUCGGAGGAGGGCAACGACCGGCCCAAGGUCACGGGGCGGCCGCGGGAUUGGAACCCCCAUGGCCCGGGCCUCCCAGGCCCGUGCGCUCCGCCCCGGGCCCUCCCGCCCUUGCCCGUCCUUCCCGGAGGCCCGCCCGGAGGCGGCGGCGGCGGCGGCGGCGGCCACGCAGCCGCUUACCACGUGUGGCGAGCGGCCACCACGCGCUCCCUCCGCCGGGGCCUCCCGCCGCUCCGCGCCAACGGCGGCGGCUCCUCGGCGGGCGGGGGCGCGGCACGGACGGCCCCCCUCCCAACAGUCCCCAACCGCCGCCCCGCCGCGGGGAAGGACGGACGGACGGAAAGGAGGAGGGGACCCGAGGCGGCCAUGGGGCCCGUCCCCGCGGCCCGCUCCAGCCGCGGAAAGGCGGGGCGAGGACCGGCAGCGCCCGCAUCUCCCCCCAACCCCCGGCCCGGCCCGGCCUGGCCCGGAACCUCGGCCCCCGAUCCCUCAUCCUCGGCCUGGCCCGGCCCGGCCCGGCCCGGCCCGGCCCGGCCCGGCCCGGCCCGGCGCUCUCCCGCCAGCGGCCUCCUCCUCCUCCUCCUCCUCCUCCUCCCCGCCCUCUCUCCCUCCCUCCUUCCCUCCCUCGCUCCCUCCCGCCGUUACCGGUGUCCGAGGCCCGGGGCUGAGGCCGGGGCGGCGCAGUGACUCAGGACGGCUGAGGCGGGAGGAGGAGGAGGAGGAGGAGGAGACGAUGGAGGCGUCGUCGUCAGCAGCGGCGGCGGCGGCGCCCCUCGCAGAUGGCGCUAAAAAGACCCGAGCUCCCGCCGCUCGCGCUCAUAUACAAUUAGCGUCAGCACGUCGCCGCCCGCCCGUCGCCACGGCAACGCGGAGGAGGCGGGCGCUGGAGGCCGGGUUGCCGGGCAACGGCGCCUGCGCGCGCUCUGCCGUCCUCCCCCCGCCGCCGCCGCCGCCGCCACCGCCCUCUCUCCCCCACUCCCCCUUCAUUCAUUCAUUCAUUCAUUCGUUCGUUCGUUCGUUCGUUCGUUCGUCAAUCAUUCAGUCAUUCAUUCAGUCAUCCAGUCAUUCAUUCACUCAUCCAGUCAUUCAUUCAGUCAUUCAUUCACUCAGUCACUCAGUCAUUCAGUCAUUCAUUAGAGAAGCAGCGUGGCUCCGUGGAAAGAGCCCGAGCUUGGGAGGCAGAGGUCUGGGUUCGAAUCCCAGCUCUGCCACUGGUCAGCUGUGUGACUGCGGGCAAGUCACUUCUCUGGGCCUCAGUUCCCUCAUCUGUAAAAUGGGGAUGAAGACUGGGAGCCCCACGUGGGACAACCUGAUUCCCCUGUGUUUACCCCAGCGCUUAGAACAGUGCUCUGCACAUAGUAAGCGCUUAACAAAUACCAACAUUAUUACUUCUCUGUGCCUCAGUUCCCUCAUCUGUAAAAUGGGGAUGAAGACUGUGAGCCUCACGAGGGACAACCUGAUUCCCCUGUGUCUACCCCAGCGCUUAGAACAGUGCUCUGCACAUAGUAAGCGCUGA
Molecule: long non-coding RNA, 1578 nt
Filed under: Ornithorhynchus anatinus (platypus)
Lineage: Eukaryota; Metazoa; Chordata; Mammalia; Monotremata; Ornithorhynchidae
Description: lncRNA (ENSOANG00000042084.1)
Rfam family: tRNA (bases 1203-1273)
Source: RNAcentral